Molecule: long non-coding RNA, 214 nt
Filed under: Phoenix dactylifera (date palm)
Lineage: Eukaryota; Viridiplantae; Streptophyta; Magnoliopsida; Arecales; Arecaceae
Description: long non-coding RNA (PDAC_LNC008094)
Source: RNAcentral
UUGGCUGCUGUUGGCACUUGCCUCUGCAGAAGAUGGAACCUGCUGUCAUGGUCCUGCGCCCUGGCUUUGCCCAUGCCGCGCGCGGUCUGGCGGGCUGCGCGUUGGCAUUGGCAAACCAGGCGCUGCCUUGGUUUUCCUGCGCCUGACCCUUUGGUCUGUGAUCGGAUCCUUUGGCUCUGUCGGUCUGGCCGCUGGGCGUAUGGCCGCUGGCCGC